GACUGUUCAAGCAAAUGUUGAGAAAGAAAUCCUAUCUAGAUUAGCAAUUAAGCUGCUGAUUUGUACCUGCAAAUUACCUUACACCUAUGUACUCUAUCACGUACAUAGAAACCAGGCACUACCAUGAUCUUAACCUUACUUGUACCUUGUGAUUUUUGCCUAUCUCCAAAUAUGUCCUCCAUAUAAUUCUUAUCAAAACUUGUAUU
This 206-nucleotide unclassified non-coding RNA is filed under the name Hevea brasiliensis (rubber tree). The record is from RNAcentral. Lineage: Eukaryota; Viridiplantae; Streptophyta; Magnoliopsida; Malpighiales; Euphorbiaceae.